CGUAGGGCGAGCGUUGUCCGGAAUUACUGGGCGUAAAGGGCGUGUAGGCGGCCGGGUGUGUCAGGUGUGAAAGACCGGGGCUCAACUCCGGGGCUGCACCUGAAACUAUCUGGCUUGAGGGCAGGAGAGGGGAGUGGAAUUCCCGGUGUAGCGGUGAAAUACGUAGAUAUCGGGAGGAACACCAGUGGCGAAGGCGACUCCCUGGACUGGCCCUGACGCUGAGGCGCGAAAGCGUGGGGAGCGAACAGGAUU
Molecule: ribosomal RNA, 252 nt
Filed under: uncultured bacterium
Lineage: Bacteria
Description: partial 16S ribosomal RNA
Rfam family: Bacterial small subunit ribosomal RNA
Source: RNAcentral